Long non-coding RNA from Liolophura sinensis, 992 nucleotides. RefSeq lists it as uncharacterized. NCBI's taxonomy places the organism in Eukaryota, Metazoa, Mollusca, Polyplacophora, Chitonida, Chitonidae. The transcript has 4 exons. The record is from RefSeq and is a predicted model, not a curated record.
CAUCCACAACCCUGGCUUUGCGAUUGCAGAUGCGACAUGGUUUGCAGUGCGAUGCAUGUUCCUACGAGUGGCAGGCGGCACGUCCAUCGCUGCAAAUAGGAGUCUGGCUCGGGUGUUCCCCAUUGGUGUGUCCUGGAGGCCUACUUGAAGAGCUCGGUUCACCGCUGCAGCUUUUUGGCCAGAUGCCAAUGUGACACCCUUUGAUGUGACUGUGUAGAGUAAUAACCUGCUGUGAGACAACAGCAAUGGUGCAGGGAGGUUUUUGCAUGAUAAACAUCUUGUCUUUCCAAAACAGUUGACCUGAUGGAGAUAUCUUGAACGGUAUAUGCACUGCAAAGCUUCAAAGUUUACCCUUCAGAGUUUUUUCACCCUGAAAAAAAGACACAUGUCCAAGAUGGGGGUACCCCAACUUGAAUUCAUUCAACUCCAAAGUUUCUGCAUGUAUCAAGCCCUAAUUUUGCCUGUGAGGUUCAGAAGUGUCAGGAAUUGUGUGGUGCAAAAAUUAUUGAUUUUGAAAAAAGUUGGCUGGUGUGAUAGGACACAGACCCCCAUUACAACUUCCGUUUUUCGGUAGGGACGAUUGUAGUUCUGUGAAUUUUAGGGUAUAAAGUCUUUUUUUGCUCCCAGGCGUCCAUUUUUGGUGCACAGGUGCAUGCUUGGUAUUAAAAUGCUGGAAACUGUCUAAACUUUGAGGAGGUAUGAGCUUUAUUGAUGAAAGUUUGAAACUCUGGGCGAGAGGACACAAGGUGUGAGGUAGUGAUGAGGCUGCGAGUGACGUCCCCUUGGCGUUGCUAGGCACGCCUCCCAGCUGCCGGCAUGGAAAGGUCCAGAUUUUGACGGUCAACCUAUGUCAAGAUUUUUAUGGCUUCUUUCUCACAGGCUGGGCCAGGUAUGCACCAAAGCUUAUUGGCCACGGAAUGUUUGGGACUGAGCUACAGUGCUAGACGUUAACAUUGUCGCUUAUGGAAAAUUAAUGGGGGUCCGAGGCCAGG